UAGAGGAAGUAAAAGUNGUAACAAGGUUUCCGUAGGUGAACUGCGGAAGGAUCAUUACCGAAUUGUCAACACGAGUUGUUGCUGGUCCUCAAAACGGGGGCAUGUGCACGCUCUGUUUACACAUCCACUCACACCUGUGCACCCUCUGUAGUUCUGUGGCAUGGGGGACUCUGUCCUCCUGUUGUGGUCCUACGUCUUUACACACACUCUGUAAUAAAGUCUCAUGGAAUGCAUGACGCGUUUAACGCAAUACAAUACAACUUUCAGCAACGGAUCUCUUGGCUCUCGCAUCGAUGAAGAACGCAGCGAAAUGCGAUAAGUAAUGUGAAUUGCAGAAUUCAGUGAAUCAUCGAAUCUUUGAACGCACCUUGCGCCCUUUGGCUAUUCCGAAGGGCAUGCCUGUUUGAGUAUCAUGAACACCUCAACUCUCAUGGUUUGCCGUGAUGAGCUUGGACUUUGGAGGUCUUGCCGGCCUGCGGUCGGCUCCUCUCAAAUGGAUCAGCUUGCCAGUGUUUGGUGGCAUCAUGGGUGUGAUAACUAUCUACGCCUGUGGUUUUCCACCAGAUAACCUUCAGUGAUGGAGGUACGCUGGAGCUCAUAAAUGUCUCUCCUCAGUGAAGACAGCUUUUUGAACGUUUGAUCUCAAAUCAGGUAGGACUACCCGCUGAACUUAAGCAU
Molecule: ribosomal RNA, 678 nt
Filed under: uncultured Tomentella
Lineage: Eukaryota; Fungi; Basidiomycota; Agaricomycetes; Thelephorales; Thelephoraceae
Description: eukaryotic LSU rRNA
Rfam family: 5.8S ribosomal RNA (bases 259-413)
Source: RNAcentral